AUUGAACGCUGGCGGCAGGCCUAACACAUGCAAGUCGAACGGUAACAGGAAGAAGCUUGCUUCUUUGCUGACGAGUGGCGGACGGGUGAGAAAUGUCUGGGAAACUGCCUGAUGGAGGGGGAUAACUACUGGAAACGGUAGCUAAUACCGCAUAACGUCGCAAGCCCAAAGAGGGGGACCUUCGGGCCUCUUGCCAUCGGCUGUGCCCAGAUGGGAUUAGCUAGUAGGUGGGGUAACGGCUCACCUAGGCGACGAUCCCUAGCUGGUCUGAGAGGAUGACCAGCCACACUGGAACUGAGACACGGUCCAGACUCCUACGGGAGGCAGCAGUGGGGAAUAUUGCACAAUGGGCGCAAGCCUGAUGCAGCCAUGCCGCGUGUAUGAAGAAGGCCUUCGGGUUGUAAAGUACUUUCAGCGGGGAGGAAGGGAGUAAAGUUAAUACCUUUGCUCAUUGACGUUACCCGCAGAAGAAGCACCGGCUAACUCCGUG
RNAcentral lists this ribosomal RNA (490 nucleotides) under uncultured bacterium. RNAcentral describes it as "partial 16S ribosomal RNA". It matches the Rfam family "Bacterial small subunit ribosomal RNA", at positions 30 to 507 of the family's 1533-position model. The record is from RNAcentral.